AUUGGUUAAGACUCUUUUGGGAGAAAAUAGGUAUAAGUGUUGUCUAAACACUCCUAAUCCAUUUCUAACUCUUAUAAUUAGUCGAAUGCAUUGGAUUGUGAUACCUUUUGACCAUAUAAACACUAACAAAGCUAUUUACUCCUUCUAAGCAAUAUUUUGUUGGUUAUAGCUUCUUUUGGGAGAAAAUGGGUAUAAGUAUUCUUUAACCACUUCUAAUCCAUCUAUAACUCUUAUAAUUAGUCAAAUGCAUUGGAUUGUGACACAUUUUGACUAUAGAAACUCUAACAAAUUUAUUGACUGCUUCUAAGCAAGUUUUGUUGGUUUUAGACUCUUUUGGAUGAAAAUGGGUACAAGUGUUUUCUAAACACUCCUAAUCUAUCUCUAACUCUAAUAAUUAGUCGAUUGCACUGGAUUGUAACACAUUAUGACCAUAAAAACACUAACAAAGUUAUUUACUUCUUCUAGGCAAUAUUAUGUUGGUUAUAGCUUUUUUUGGGAGAAAAUGAGUAUAAAUGUUCUCUAAACACUCCUAAUUCAUCUCUAACUCUUGUAAUUAGUCAAAUGCAUUGGAUUGUGACAUAUUUUGACCAUAGAAACACUAACAAAUCUAUUGACUCCUUCUAAGCAAGUUUUGUUGGUUUUAGACUCUUUUGGGAGAAAAUGGGUAUAAGUGUUGUCUAAAAACUCCUAAUCCAUCUCUAACUCUUAUAUUUAGUCGAUUGCAUUGGAUUGUGACACAUUUUGACAAUAAAAAUACUAACAACGCUGUUUAGUGCUUCUAAGCAAUAACUUGUUGGUUAUAGCUUCUUUUGGGAGAAAAUGAGUAUAAGUGUUCUCUAAACACUCCUAAUCCAUCUCUAACUCUUAUAAUUAGUCAAAUGCAUUGGAUUGUGACACAUUUUGACUAUAGAAACACUAACAAAUAUAUUGACUGCUUCUAAGCAAGUUUUGUUGGUUUUAGACUCUUUCGGGAGAAAAUGGGUAUGAGUGUUCUCUAAACACUCCUUAUCCAUCUCUAACUCUUAUAAUUAGUCAAAUGCAUUGGAUUGCGUCACAUUUUGACCAUAGAAACACUAACAAAUCUAUUGACUGUUCGAAGCAAGUUUUGUUGGUUUUAGACUCUUUUAGGAGAAAAUGGGUAUAAGUCUUGUCUAAACAAUCAUAAUCCAUCUAUAACUCUUAUAAUUAGUCAAUUGCAUUGGAUUGAGACACAUUUUGACUGUAAAAAUACUAACAAAGCUAUUUACUGCUUCCAAGCAAUGUUUUGUUGGUUUUAGCUUCUUUUAGAAGAAAAUGGAUAUAAGUGUUGUCUAAACACUCAUAAGCCAUCUCUAACUCUUAAAAUUACUCAAAUCCGUUAGAUUAUGAUACAUUUUGAUUAUAGAAACACUAACAAAGCUAUUUACUCUUUCUAAGCAAUAUUUUGUUGGUUAUAGCUUCUUUUAGGAGAAAAUGGGUAUAAGUGUUCUCUAAGUACUCCUAAUCCAUCUCUUACUCUUAUAAUUAGUCAAUUGCAUUGGUAUGUGACACAUCUUGACAAUAGAAAUACUAACAAAGCUAUUUACAGCUUCUAAGCAAUAUUUUGUUGGUUUUAGCUUCUUUUAGGAGAAAUUAGAUAUAAGUAUUGUCUAAACACACCUAAUCCAUCUCUAAAUCUUAUAAUUACUCAAAUGCAUUAGAUUGUGAUACAUUUUGAUUAUAGAAACACUAACAAUUCUAUUUACUGUUUCUAAGCAAUAUUUUGUUGGUUGUAGCUUCUUUUGGGAGUAAAUGGGUAUAAGUGUUGUCUAAACACUCCUAAUCCAUCUCUAACUCUUAUAAUUAGUCAAUUUCAUUGGAUUCUGACACAUUUUGACCAUAAAAAUACUAACAAAGCUAUUUACUGCUUCCAUGCAAUGUUUUGUUGGUUUUAGCUUUUUUUUGGAGAAAUUA
This 1932-nucleotide small RNA is filed under the name Arabidopsis thaliana (thale cress). RNAcentral describes it as "ATSL037120". The record is from RNAcentral. Lineage: Eukaryota; Viridiplantae; Streptophyta; Magnoliopsida; Brassicales; Brassicaceae.